GCACCAGAGAAGCAGACGAUGGCCGAGGAGCAGGAAGUCCAGUUGCAGAUGCUGCAGCAGGUCCGCGGAAUCGCUGGGCUGAGGGGCUUCUGCUGCUGUCUCUUGGUGGGUCGGCUUGUUUCGUGGUGCUGGGGACGGACCCCAGGGCUGCAGCCUGCCGUGGACACCCUCCCACCCAGCUGCACCCAGCCCAGGUCUCAGAAUCAGGUGGACGGACGUCCCUGCAAGGCCACCCACGUCUUCUCCACCUCUGUGUGUAAGGACCUUCUCAGAAGUCAUUUCAGCCCAGCACAGGGAGAAUCAGACCCCGGGAAUCGCCCAGGCAAUGGGGAACAGGAGUGCCGGUGUGGCCAGCGUCUCCCCCACUGUGCCCCAAAGACCCGACAAGAACCAUGUUAGAUGAGAAAAAGUUGAUUUGGGGCUCACGGUUCAGAGGUCUCAGUCCAAGGUUGGUGGCUCCACAGCUCUGGCCCAAGGACAGCCCAGUGACCACCUCCUCCAGCCACACCCACCUGCCCGGGUACCACCCAGAGGAUCCUACCAGUGGGUUAGUGCUCUGACCAGGUGUGCCGUCUUUCUGAAGGAAGACUUGGGGCCACCCUGAACACCCUGAGUGCUGGUGCAGCCUGUCCUCAGCAAUGCUCCUGACUCCAGGGGCACUCCCUUCCCCCAUCCUGUUCCCUCCUGUGGCCCCCCAAUGCCACCUCUGCGCACAGCCUCGUCGGGGCUCCUGCUUUCCCAGUGACCCGCAGUGAGACAGGACUGGUGACGUCUGGGGUGUGCAAUGACAUGGUCCCUCGCUAGCUGCUCAGCGUGACCAGUCCAGUGCCUCUUGGGCUUUGUGCAUUUAGUCAUCCGCUCACUACUCAGCAGCCAUGAAGCAUGUCCACCUGUGGCCAUCUCAGAAGAAGAAAAGGUAAAGUUAAGCCGGGCAGAUACGUCCUCUGCCCUCCUGGAAGGCCUAGUGUCAUGGGAAAAGCCAAUUAAUGAAACGUUGGCACAACUGGCUCUAAACCUGGAGCGGCGCAGUCUCGGGAGGGAAGCGCGUGAAGCAGCAGGGCAGGCUGAGAUGAGCGGCCUCUUUGUGGAGGGAAGACGAGGCCUGGGAGAGACCUCGGUGGCCCCUUGGCUUCAUCUGCAUGGAGCCGUGGUCUGGGGAGAGGGUGGAGCCACAUGAACCAAGGUCUUCAAAUGAGUGGACCCCGACCUGGGAGGAAAUAAAGGGUCCCAGAAGGGCUUGGCUAACGGAGCCCGGCGUGCCUCACCCUGGGAUCAGGUUGCCCAGGUGCUCAGUUCACUGCCUGGUGGGAGGAAUGACCACGGGCCGUUGACAGCUGGGACAGGAGCCUUCCGGAGCUCACGCCAGCCCGUCUCCCUUGGCCAGCACUUUGGGUGAUGGAAGGAAAGAGGACUCCCAGCUCUGACCCCAAGGGGCUUCUCCAGGGCAAGCACGUGCUCCGAUUGGACUUGGCAAAGGUUGCCAGGUGGGGAGCUCUCUGAUAGGGGGAUGCCGGGUGCCGGGGCGUGUGCAUUCCCCCUCAUUGAGUGGCUUCACUGUGCCCGACGCUGGCGCUCUCUGCUCCAUGCUUCCAACGUCUGUGAGGUCUUUCUUCUUCUCCUUCAUCUGAAGAAGUCUCACCGCGCUCUCAAGCCUGAGCUGAAGUGCGGCUCCCUCCAGGGACCCUCUUGGAACACCCUGCCCGGCAGUGCCCGCCUCCCUCUCUCGACCUCUGCUCCUAGAGCAUGUCGUGCGGCCUCUGAUCACGGCUGGUUCAGCUUGGCUGUCCAAGGGCAUGAACAGCACAGCGCCCUAGAACCCCCAGCGUGUCCCAUCUCAUUCUAUCCCCGCAAAUAAGGCCCGUGUUCCCUGAAACACAGGGAUUUCCUCUCCACCUGGUCCCCAUAGUUAAAAAAUGUUCCUGAACUUGGUAACGGGGAGCGUUUGACUUCCCCUUCAGGAAAUGUCUAGGUCUGAAUUUACUCUCAGGAUGCAGACAGACAUGGACACUUACGUCUUUUGUACUUGAAAAGCUCAACAUGUCACAUCAUAGUUAAAGCAUGAUGAUGGUGAUGACGACGAUGGUGAUGAUAGGUAGUAAUAAUAGCGAUGGUGAUAGUGAGAAAGGUGGUAAGCGUGGUCAUGGUGGUGGAGGUGAUAGUGAUAGUGACAGUGACGGUGAUUAUGAGAGUGGUGGUGA
Marmota flaviventris (yellow-bellied marmot) is the source of this 2198-nucleotide non-coding RNA. The record is from RefSeq and is a predicted model, not a curated record. Lineage: Eukaryota; Metazoa; Chordata; Mammalia; Rodentia; Sciuridae.